Molecule: ribosomal RNA, 496 nt
Filed under: uncultured bacterium
Lineage: Bacteria
Description: partial 16S ribosomal RNA
Rfam family: Bacterial small subunit ribosomal RNA
Source: RNAcentral
GACGAACGCUGGCGGCGUGCUUAACACAUGCAAGUCGAACGAUGAACCCGGAGCUUGCUCCGGCGGAUUAGUGGCGAACGGGUGAGUAACACGUGAGUAACCUGCCCUUGACUCUGGGAUAACUGCUAGAAAUGGUAGCUAAUACCGGAUACGACCCUCGGUGGCAUCACCAGGGGGUGGAAGGAAUUUCGGUCAAGGAUGGACUCGCGGCCUAUCAGCUAGUUGGUGAGGUAACGGCUCACCAAGGCGACGACGGGUAGCUGGUCUGAGAGGAUGGCCAGCCACAUUGGGACUGAGAGACGGCCCAGACUCCUACGGGAGGCAGCAGUGGGGAAUCUUGCGCAAUGGGCGAAAGCCUGACGCAGCGACGCCGCGUGGGGGAGGAAGGGCUUCGGCUUGUAAACCCCUGUUGCCCGGGACGAACCGCCUCUUUCGAGAGGCCUGACGGUACCGGGUGAGGAAGCACCGGCUAACUCCGUGCCAGCAGCCGCAGUAA